UUCGCAAUGCCCGAAAGGGUGACGAAGCGACGCCGCGUGUGGGAAGAAGGCCUUCGGGUUGUAAACCACUGUCGGGAGUUGAGAAAUACAAGGAUAUUAAUAGUGUCUUUGUUUGACUAAGGCUCCGGAGGAAGCCACGGCUAACUCUGUGCCAGCAGCCGCGGUAAUACAGAGGCGGCAAGCGUUGUUCGGAAUUGCAUUGGGCGUAAAGAGCACGUAGGCGGCUAUGUAAGUCGGUUGUGAAAGCCUUCCGCUCAACGGAAGAACAGCAUCCGAUACUACAUGGCUUGAGUGCGGGAGGGGAGAGUGGAACUUCUGGUGGAGCGGUGAAAUGCGUAGAUAUCAGAAGGAACGCCGGCGGCGAAAGCGGCUCUCUGGCCCUUAACUGACGCUGAGUGUGCGAAAGCUAGGGGAGCAAACGGGAUUAGAUACCCCGGUAGUCCUAGCCGUAAACGAUGGGCACUAAGUAGAGGGGUUA
RNAcentral lists this ribosomal RNA (478 nucleotides) under uncultured Planctomycetales bacterium. Its description in RNAcentral is "bacterial SSU rRNA". It matches the Rfam family "Bacterial small subunit ribosomal RNA", at positions 365 to 831 of the family's 1533-position model. The record is from RNAcentral. Lineage: Bacteria; Pseudomonadati; Planctomycetota; Planctomycetia; Planctomycetales.